Molecule: ribosomal RNA, 489 nt
Filed under: uncultured bacterium
Lineage: Bacteria
Description: bacterial SSU rRNA
Rfam family: Bacterial small subunit ribosomal RNA
Source: RNAcentral
UAACACAUGCAAGUCGAACGCUUGUCCGGCUUCGGCCGGACGGGAGUGGCGCACGGGUGAGUAGCGCGUGGGAACCUGCCCUGUUGUGGGGGAUAACCGAGGGAAACUUCGGCUAAUACCGCAUAAGCCGGGAAACCGGGAAAGAUUUAUCGCGACAGGAGGGGCCCGCGUCGGAUUAGGUAGUUGGUAGGGUAACGGCCUACCAAGCCUGUGAUCCGUAGCUGGUCUGAGAGGAUGAUCAGCCACACUGGGACUGAGACACGGCCCAGACUCCUACGGGAGGCAGCAGUGGGGAAUAUUGGACAAUGGGCGCAAGCCUGAUCCAGCAAUGCCGCGUGAGUGAUGAAGGCCUUAGGGUUGUAAAGCUCUUUCGCCCGCGACGAUGAUGACGGUAGCGGGAGAAGAAGCCCCGGCUAACUUCGUGCCAGCAGCCGCGGUAAUACGAAGGGGGCGAGCGUUGUUCGGAUUUACUGGGCGUAAAGGGCGCGU